CGCGUAGGCGGCGCUACAAGUCAGGCGUGAAAUUCCUGGGCUUAACCUGGGGGCUGCGCUUGAGACUGUGGUGCUAGAGGAUGGAAGAGGGUCGUGGAAUUCCCAGUGUAGAGGUGAAAUUCGUAGAUAUUGGGAAGAACACCGGUGGCGAAGGCGGCGACCUGGUCCAUUACUGACGCUGAGGCGCGACAGCGUGGGGAGCAAACA
RNAcentral lists this ribosomal RNA (207 nucleotides) under uncultured bacterium. Its description in RNAcentral is "partial 16S ribosomal RNA". It matches the Rfam family "Bacterial small subunit ribosomal RNA", at positions 568 to 774 of the family's 1533-position model. The record is from RNAcentral.